CUACCAGUGUAUCUGAGCUACUUGAUCGAACAAUCUGUAAUGAGUACACACAAAAAAAGUUAUUAGAUAAUUAUCUUAUCUACUAUUUCUUUUAUUUUGUUUAAAUAUCAUACAUAUGUUUUGUUUUUUUGAAAUUUUGGAAAUUUAGGUUCUUAGAACUAAUUAAAAUUAAAUAUGCCUUCAAAUUCUGAAUCUCUUACAAGUCCG
This 207-nucleotide long non-coding RNA is filed under the name Vigna radiata. Its description in RNAcentral is "long non-coding RNA (VRAD_LNC003895)". The record is from RNAcentral. Lineage: Eukaryota; Viridiplantae; Streptophyta; Magnoliopsida; Fabales; Fabaceae.